GUGCUCACUUCAGCAGCUCAUAUAUUAAAAAAAUGGAACUAUAUGGAAAAGAUUAUCAUGGCCCCUGUGCAAGGAUGACACACAAGUUUGUAAAGUGUUCCAUAUUUUU
This 109-nucleotide small nuclear RNA is filed under the name Salvator merianae (Argentine black and white tegu). Lineage: Eukaryota; Metazoa; Chordata; Lepidosauria; Squamata; Teiidae. The record is from RNAcentral.